UACGAAGGGGGCUAGCGUUGUUCGGAAUUACUGGGCGUAAAGCGCGUGCAGGCGGCCGACUAAGUCCGGUGUGAAAGCCCGGGGCUCACCCCCGGAAGUGCGCUGGAAACUGGUCGACUAGAGUACGGGAGAGGGAAGUGGAAUUCCACGUGUAGCAGUGAAAUGCGUAGAUAUGUGGAGGAACACCGAUGGCGAAGGCAGCCCCCUGGGUUGACACUGACGCUCAUGCACGAAAGCGUGGGGAGCAAACAGG
RNAcentral lists this ribosomal RNA (253 nucleotides) under uncultured bacterium. RNAcentral describes it as "partial 16S ribosomal RNA". It matches the Rfam family "Bacterial small subunit ribosomal RNA", at positions 524 to 776 of the family's 1533-position model. The record is from RNAcentral.